RNAcentral lists this ribosomal RNA (492 nucleotides) under uncultured bacterium. RNAcentral's name for it is "partial 16S ribosomal RNA". It matches the Rfam family "Bacterial small subunit ribosomal RNA", at positions 29 to 507 of the family's 1533-position model. The record is from RNAcentral.
AGUGAACGCUGGCGGUAGGCCUAACACAUGCAAGUCGAACGGCAGCACAGUAAGAGCCUGCUCUUACGGGUGGCGAGUGGCGGACGGGUGAGGAAUACAUCGGAAUCUACUUUUUCGUGGGGGAUAACGUAGGGAAACUUACGCUAAUACCGCAUACGACCUACGGGUGAAAGCAGGGGAUCUUCGGACCUUGCGCGAUUGAAUGAGCCGAUGUCGGAUUAGCUAGUUGGCGGGGUAAAGGCCCACCAAGGCGACGAUCCGUAGCUGGUCUGAGAGGAUGAUCAGCCACACUGGAACUGAGACACGGUCCAGACUCCUACGGGAGGCAGCAGUGGGGAAUAUUGGACAAUGGGCGCAAGCCUGAUCCAGCCAUACCGCGUGGGUGAAGAAGGCCUUCGGGUUGUAAAGCCCUUUUGUUGGGAAAGAAAAGCAGCAGGUUAAUACCCCGCUGUUCUGACGGAACCCAAAGAAUAAGCACCGGCUAACUUCGUG